AGAGUUUUGAUCCUGGCUCAGGACGAACGCUGGCGGCGUGCUUAACACAUGCAAGUCGAACGGAAAGGCCCUGCUUUUGUGGGGUGCUCGAGUGGCGAACGGGUGAGUAACACGUGAGUAACCUGCCCUUGACUUUGGGAUAACUUCAGGAAACUGGGGCUAAUACCGGAUAGGAGCUCCUGCUGCAUGGUGGGGGUUGGAAAGUUUCGGCGGUUGGGGAUGGACUCGCGGCUUAUCAGCUUGUUGGUGGGGUAGUGGCUUACCAAGGCUUUGACGGGUAGCCGGCCUGAGAGGGUGACCGGCCACAUUGGGACUGAGAUACGGCCCAGACUCCUACGGGAGGCAGCAGUGGGGAAUAUUGCACAAUGGGCGGAAGCCUGAUGCAGCAACGCCUCGUGCGGGAUGACGGCCUUCGGGUUGUAAACCGCUUUCGCCUGUGACGAAGCUUGUAUGUGACGGUAUAGUGGGUAAAGAAGCACGCAGCUA
This 486-nucleotide ribosomal RNA is filed under the name uncultured Propionibacterium sp. Its description in RNAcentral is "bacterial SSU rRNA". It matches the Rfam family "Bacterial small subunit ribosomal RNA", at positions 8 to 499 of the family's 1533-position model. Lineage: Bacteria; Bacillati; Actinomycetota; Actinomycetes; Propionibacteriales; Propionibacteriaceae. The record is from RNAcentral.